UGGGGAAUCGUCUAAUGGCAGGACAGAAGCCUUUGAAGCUUUUAAUUGGGGUUCGAAUCCCUGUUCCCCAG
This 71-nucleotide transfer RNA is filed under the name Minisyncoccota bacterium. Its description in RNAcentral is "tRNA-Gln". It matches the Rfam family "tRNA". From Rfam's summary of the family: Transfer RNA (tRNA) molecules are approximately 80 nucleotides in length. Their secondary structure includes four short double-helical elements and three loops (D, anti-codon, and T loops). The record is from RNAcentral. Lineage: Bacteria; Bacillati; Minisyncoccota.